UAGGGAAUAUUGCAAAAUGGGCGAAAGCCCGAUGCAGCAACGCCGCGUGGGCGAUGAAGGCCUUCGGGUCGUAAAGCCCUUUUUGAGGGGAUGAGGAAGGACAGUACCCUCAGAAUAAGCCUCGGCUAACUACGUGCCAGCAGCCGCGGUAAAACGUAGGAGGCGAGCGUUAUCCGGAUUUACUGGGCGUAAAGCGCGUGCAGGCGGAUUGGAGAGUUGGAUGUGAAAGCUCCCGGCUUAACUGGGAGAGGUCGUUCAAUACUUCCAGUCUUGAGUGCAGUAGAGGGCAGUGGAAUUCCAGGUGUAGUGGUGAAAUGCGUAGAUAUCCGGAGGAACACCAGUGGCGAAAGCGGCUUCCUGGACUGUAACUGACGCUCAGACGCGAAAGCUAGGGUAGCAAACG
This 403-nucleotide ribosomal RNA is filed under the name uncultured bacterium. RNAcentral's name for it is "bacterial SSU rRNA". It matches the Rfam family "Bacterial small subunit ribosomal RNA", at positions 355 to 774 of the family's 1533-position model. The record is from RNAcentral.